RNAcentral lists this ribosomal RNA (811 nucleotides) under Neopyrenochaeta sp. RNAcentral describes it as "partial large subunit ribosomal RNA". It matches the Rfam family "Eukaryotic large subunit ribosomal RNA", at positions 75 to 904 of the family's 3401-position model. The record is from RNAcentral. Lineage: Eukaryota; Fungi; Ascomycota; Dothideomycetes; Pleosporales; Neopyrenochaetaceae.
UUGCCCUAGUAACGGCGAGUGAAGCGGCAUCAGCUCAAAUUUGAAAUCUGGCUCUUUCAGAGUCCGAGUUGUAAUUUGCAGAGGGCGCUUUGGCGUUGGCAGCGGUCCAAGUUCCUUGGAACAGGACGUCACAGAGGGUGAGAAUCCCGUACGUGGUCGCUGGCCUUCACCGUGUAAAGCCCCUUCGACGAGUCGAGUUGUUUGGGAAUGCAGCUCUAAAUGGGAGGUAAAUUUCUUCUAAAGCUAAAUACUGGCCAGAGACCGAUAGCGCACAAGUAGAGUGAUCGAAAGAUGAAAAGCACUUUGGAAAGAGAGUCAAAUAGCACGUGAAAUUGUUGAAAGGGAAGCGCUUGCAGCCAGACUUGCCUGUAGUUGCUCAUCCGGGCUUUUGCCCGGUGCAUUCUUCUGUAGGCAGGCCAGCAUCAGUUUGGGCGGUUGGAUAAAGGCCUCUGUCAUGUACCUCCUUUCGGGGAGGCCUUAUAGGGGAGGCGACAUGCAACCAGCCUGGACUGAGGUCCGCGCAUCUGCUAGGAUGCUGGCGUAAUGGCUGUAAGCGGCCCGUCUUGAAACACGGACCAAGGAGUCUAACAUCUAUGCGAGUGUUUGGGUGUCAAGCCCGAGCGCGCAAUGAAAGUGAACGGAGGUGGGAUCCCUUAAGGGUGCACCAUCGACCGAUCCUGAUGUCUUCGGAUGGAUUUGAGUAAGAGCAUGGCUGUUGGGACCCGAAAGAUGGUGAACUAUGCUUGAAUAGGGUGAAGCCAGAGGAAACUCUGGUGGAGGCUCGCAGCGGUUCUGACGUGCAAAUCGAUCG